UUCCGAAUGGGGAAACCCACCACUCGUAAUGGAGUGGUAUCCAUAUCUGAAUUCAUAGGAUAUGAGAAGGCAGACCCUCUGAACUGAAACAUCUAAGUAGGAGGAGGAAAAGAAAGAAACAUCGAUUUCCAAAGUAGCGGCGAGCGAAAUGGAAGAAGCCCAAACCGAUAUUGUUACGGCAAUAUCGGGGUUGUAGGACUGCAAUAUUCAAUUAACAAUGAACUGGAAUGGUCUGGAAAGUCCAUCCAUAGAGAGUGAAAGGCUCGUACAGGUAAGUUUGUUAUGCGAAAGCAGUAUCCUGAGUAUGGCGGGACACGAGGAAUCCUGUCAGAAUCAGCCGGGACCACCCGGUAAGGCUAAAUACUCCCAAGAGACCGAUAGUGGACCAGUACCGUGAGGGAAAGGUGAAAAGAACCCCGAACAGGGGAGUGAAAUAGAACCUGAAACCAUACGCUUACAACCGGUCGGAGCAGCUUCGUGCUGUGACGGCGUGCCUAUUGAAUAAUGAGCCUACGAGUUACUAAUCACUAGCGAGGUUAAGUGCAAGGAUGCACGGAGCCGAAGCGAAAGCGAGUCUGAACAGGGCGUUUAGUUAGUGGUUGUAGACGCGAAACCUUGCGAUCUACCCUUGAGCAGGUUGAAGGUUGGGUAAAACCAACUGGAGGACCGAACGAAUAAGCGUUGAAAAGCUUCUCGAUGACUUGAGGGUAGGGGUGAAAGGCUAAUCAAGCUGGGAAAUAGCUCGUACUCCCCGAAAUGCCUUUUGGGGCAGCGUUGUAAUAAAGAGUCUACUGGAGGUAGAGCUACUGAUUGGAUGCGGGGGCUUCACCGCCUACCAAAUCCUGACAAACUCCGAAUGCCAGUAGUAUGAUUUACAGCAGUGAGUGACUGGGUGCUAAUGUCCAGUCGCAAAAGAGGAACAACUCAGACCAGCAACUAAGGUCCCGAAGAAUAUGCUAAGUUGAUCUAACGAUGUUUUGUUGCAGAGACAGCUAGGAUGUUAGCUUGGAAGCAGCUAUUCAUUCAAAGAGUGCGUAACAGCUCACUAGUCGAGCGACAGAGCGUGGAUAAUAAACGGGCAUCAAGCAUAUCACCGAAGUUCUGGGCGCGAGAGCGCGGUAGGGGAGCAUUCCAUUCAGCGUCGAAGCAGUUUCGUGAGGAAUUGUGGAGCGUAUGGAAAAGCAAAUGUAGGCAUGAGUAACGAUAAUGCGGGAGAGUAACCCGCACACCGCAAGACCAAGGUUUCCUGAUCAACGCUAAUCGGAUCAGGGUUAGUCGGGUCCUAAGGGUAAGCCGAACGGCGAUCUCGAUGGAUAAUCGGUUAAUAUUCCGAUACUAACAUAUACCUCGAUGGAGAGACGAAGGAACGUAAGUGCCGCCACCUGACGGAAUAGGUGGUUAAAGGGCGUAGGUAUAGGGGCAGAUUAAGAGUUAGUCCUUGCUGAAACCUGACAGUACAGAGAGCCUACGGGCAAUUUGAUAGAGCACCCAAGUCGACUUCCGAGAAAAUCUUCUAAGUUAUAGUAUAUGUUACCCGUACCGUAAACCGACACAGGUGGUCGAGGAGAGUAUCCUAAGGUGCUCGAGUGAAUCACGGUUAAGGAACUAGGCAAAUUAACCCCGUAACUUCGGGAAAAGGGGUCCCUAUGAAAGUAGGGCGCAGCGAAGAGGUCCAGGCGACUGUUUAUCAAAAACACAGGGCUCUGCAAAUUCGAAAGAAGACGUAUAGGGCCUGACACCUGCCCGGUGCUGGAAGGUUAAGAGGGGAUGUCAUCGCAAGAGAAGCAUUGAAUCGAAGCCCCAGUAAACGGCGGCCGUAACAAUAACGGUCCUAAGGUAGCGAAAUUCCUUGUCGGGUAAGUUCCGACCUGCACGAAUGG
This 1880-nucleotide ribosomal RNA is filed under the name Streptococcus infantis. RNAcentral describes it as "partial 23S ribosomal RNA". It matches the Rfam family "Bacterial large subunit ribosomal RNA", at positions 112 to 1999 of the family's 2925-position model. The record is from RNAcentral. Lineage: Bacteria; Bacillati; Bacillota; Bacilli; Lactobacillales; Streptococcaceae.